AUGCAUGGAAUAGAUGAUUGAUAAUUUAACUGCUUUAGGGCUCCAAGAUUGGAGAUUAAACCCUUACCAACCCUUGCAGCAUUAUGGCCAGCAGAGGCUCGGCACGUUUGCCAUGUUUACAGCCGCGUUGACACUAGAUUCUAGCCAUGGACCACCAGUUUUCCCUGUUUACUAUGUAUAGGGUUCCUUUUUAUCACAGGCCUUUUCAUAAAGACAAACUAGAAAUCAAGUGUGCCCAGCUGUCGUCUAAGCCCUCUCGAUAGCUCGUGUGGCAAUAGAAUAUAAUAAUACCUGCAAUAAAUGGGGACGUACUAUCAUGGGUGGCAAGUGUUUGUUGACCUGGUGGAGAAACUGCUUUUAACUCCAUGUAUCCAGGUUACACAUCUGGACUGAAGGGGUGUUUGUUCCCAGUUCAAUCGUUUAAGUACGAGGUAGCAGAUUACUGAUGGUUUGGCUUGUGGCUUUUUGUUUCAUUUUAAUAAGAAUGAAAACAACAGACCAGUGGAAACCUGCUUUAAACCUGACACAGGAUCAGCCCAACGCGCCUCCACCAAGGCUGCGAGAGGUCGAGUUCCUUCCGAUCAUGAUCUUUAAAAUGUCUCUGGAUCCUCGAGAAGCAGCGAUCGGAGCCACUUGUUUGAAAAUCUAGAUAGGAAGGGAUGAUUUUAAAUUUGAUUCUUUUCAUAGGAGAGUAGUGAGGGUAGUUCUCAGCCACACACAGUUUCUGAGUGGCAGCAAAGGCUGAUUCACUUAAAAAUUGUCGAGAGCCAUGUGCUUUACGGCGUGUUCUGGGGGGACUUCAGUGGAGCCUGUAGAAGUAAUAAAAAGUAUUAAAAAGGCUUUCAUUCCAAAAAAAGAAGGGGAAAUGUUAAAGGUUUGCUAUAAGCAAUUUGGAAGGAAGAAAAAAUAAACCUAAGGUGCUUUUCAAAAGAGUAACGAAUUGUUCUGGGCUAAAACAGCAAUACUGUGCUCAUUAGUUCAGUAAGAAUGGCGAAGCUGUCCUCUCGCCAAUACACUGAGUAAAUUCAUGGUGAAAACCACGUAACAUGUUUUAAUGAGCCACUUGAGGGAGAACACGCUCAUUGCUAAGACAGUGUGCAGAAAAAUCCUUGCACGUCUAUGCAUCAACCGUUAGCUAUAACUGCUGCCGUUGUCUUUCCCCACGGCCUACAACUGUGGUCUAGAAAUUGGGAUAAAAUUCCCUUCUUUUCUUGGGAAAGACCAAUGAGCACAAUGGUGUUAGUCACUUAAUUUUUCUGAUGAAUAAUAAAUGCAAUAACUAGCUCCUGGUCGAGAAGCUGUCUGUUUGUUUGUCUGUCUAUCUAAAUAUUCUUGACACUUUGAAAUGUCGUAGUUCUAUCAAUGACCAGUUACAUUGACGUAAAAUUUCUCGAACCUUUGAUUGACGGGUCUUACUACCACAUGCUGCUGCUUACAUGAAAAAGCCUGCCUUUUAAGUAAUGUGUUUCCUGUGUCUGUAGGAGUGAGUUCUCUGAGUUUUUAACAUGACUAGAGUCCCACUGUCAAAAUGUACACCCACCCCCCAACCCCACCCCACCCUGCACUGUCUUGUAGACAUCUGGGAGAACCUGCCUGCUAGCAUUGCAAAUGAGUCUACUUGUUUAGCUCUCCUGCCCAACGUGGUGGGUACCUCCUCCCCUCCAUCCGCCGCCCCCCCUCCCCACUUCAGAGCUCUGCCACCUUCUGACAGUAUUCACUCCUGUACCUGCAGGCCUGAAUUCAGAGCUUAGGGUUACACAGAACCCAGAUUGGUCCGUUUCCCUGAGGUUUCUGCUGUCAAAGGAGAUCGUUUCUUAGUGAUACCCAGUCUUUCAAUGCAGGCAUAUUUACAUUUCUGAGUAAAACCUGUGUAUUUAUGGGAAAUAAAGGCAUGUUUAAAAUUACAUAGACGUAGUGUUGCUUAUUGCAAAGUGGAGAAGGGGAACCUAACUAUAACGAUAUUUUUUGAGGGUUUUUUUUAUAAUGAUAUUUUAGUCAUUGUUGAAAGCUCACAGUUUAGUCCAUAAUGUUUUACCAAAAUCCAAUGGUGACCCACAGAUUCCCAAAGACCAAGACGUGGUGAAAACAGUUGUUUUCUUGAGAGUACUCUUUGAAGCAAGCCUACCGAAAAUACAUCUGAGAGUAUUUAAUGUCUAAUUACACUAUUUUGCUGUAGCCGAAGAGGCCACUUUUGUAUUUAACCUAAAGAAAACAAGAAAACAAAGUCCACUUUUAUCCUAAAAGAA
Molecule: long non-coding RNA, 2246 nt
Filed under: Rattus norvegicus (Norway rat)
Lineage: Eukaryota; Metazoa; Chordata; Mammalia; Rodentia; Muridae
Description: long non-coding RNA NONRATT017352
Source: RNAcentral